UACAGAGGUCCCAAGCGUUGUUCGGAUUCACUGGGCGUAAAGGGUGCGUAGGCGGAUCGUUAAGUCGGGGGUGAAAUCCUGGAGCUCAACUCCAGAACUGCCUUCGAUACUGGCGAUCUUGAGUCCGGAAGAGGUGAGUGGAACUCCUAGUGUAGAGGUGGAAUUCGUAGAUAUUAGGAAGAACACCAGUGGCGAAGGCGGCUCACUGGUCCGGUACUGACGCUGAGGUGCGAAAGCGUGGGGAGCAAACAGG
This 253-nucleotide ribosomal RNA is filed under the name uncultured bacterium. RNAcentral describes it as "partial 16S ribosomal RNA". It matches the Rfam family "Bacterial small subunit ribosomal RNA", at positions 524 to 776 of the family's 1533-position model. The record is from RNAcentral.